RNAcentral lists this ribosomal RNA (1463 nucleotides) under uncultured Bordetella sp. RNAcentral describes it as "partial 16S-23S ribosomal RNA intergenic spacer". It matches the Rfam family "Bacterial small subunit ribosomal RNA". Lineage: Bacteria; Pseudomonadati; Pseudomonadota; Betaproteobacteria; Burkholderiales; Alcaligenaceae. The record is from RNAcentral.
UGAGGCAUCAGGUAACGGAGAGGUUCGAUCAUGGCUCGAUUGAACGCUGGCGGGAUGCUUCCUGCAUGCAAGUCGAACGGCAGCACGGACUUCCGGUCUGGUGGCGAGUGGCGAACAGGUGAGUAAUGUAUGGGAACUUUGAUGCCUAGUAGCGGGGGAUAACUACGCGAAAGCGUAGCUAAUGCCGCAUACGCCCUUCGGGGAAAGCAGGACCUUCCGGGCCUCGCACUAUUCGAAACCGUGGAUGCUGGUUGGUGGGGUAGCGGCUCACCAAGGCGACGAUCCGUAGCUGGUUUGAAGGACGACCAGCCACACUGGGACUACGAGACGGCCCAGACUCCUACGGGAGGCAGCAGUGGGAAAUUUUGGACAAUGGGGGAAACCCUGAUCCAGCCAUCCCGCGUGCACGAUGAAGGCCUUCGGGUUGUAAAGCACUUUUGGCAGGAAAAGAAACGGCACGGGAUAAUACCCCGAUGCAACUGACGGUACCUGCAGAAUGGCACCGGCUAACUACGUGCCAGCGAGCCGCGGUAUGCGUAAAGGUCCGCAAGCGUUAAUCGAUUACUGGGCGUAAAGCGUGCGCGGGCGGUUCGGAAAAGAAAGAUGUUGAUCCCAGAGCUUAACUUCAGGUGCGACAUACCGAAAUGAAGUGUGUCAGAGGGAGGUGGAAUUCGAAGCGGUAAAUCGUAGAUAUGCGGAGGACACCGAUGGCGAAGAGCAGCCUCCUGGGAUAACACUGACGCUCAUCACAACGUAGGAGCAAACAGGAUUAGAUGCCCUGAUAGAGUCACGCGCAACGAUGUCAACUAGCUGUUGGGGCCUUGGGCCUUGGUGGCGCGACUAACGCGUGAAGUUGACCGCCUGGGGGAGUACGGUCGCAAGAUUAAAACUCCAAGAUUGACGGGGACCCACAAGCGGUCGUUGAUGUGGAUUAAUUCGAUGCAACGCGAAAAACCUUAUCUACCCUUAAACACAUGGAAUCCCGAAGAGAUUUGGGGAGUGCUCGCAAGAGAACCGGAACACAGGUGCUGCAUGGCUAUGUCGUCAGCUCGUGUCGUGAGAUGUUGGGUUAGGUCCCGCAACGAGCGCAACCCUAUCAUUAGUUGCUACGAAGGGCACUCUAAUGAGACUGCCGGUGACAAACCGGAGGAAGGUGGGGAUGACGUCGAAGUCCUCAUGGCCCUGUAUGGUAGGGCUUCACCCACGUCCUAUACAAUGGUCGGGACAGAGGGUCGCCAACCCGCGAGGAGCCAAUCGAAACCCGAUCGUAGUCCGGAUCGCAGUCUGCAACUCGACUGCGUGAAUCGCUAGUAAUCGCGGAUCAGCAUGUCGCGGUGAAUACGUUCCGGGUCUUGUACACACUGCCCGUCACACCAUGGGAGUGGGUUUUACCAGAAGUAGUUAGCCUAACCGUAAGGGGCGAUUACCGUGGAUUCGCCGACUGGUGAAGUCGUAACAAGGUA